Molecule: non-coding RNA, 195 nt
Organism: Chelonoidis abingdonii (Abingdon island giant tortoise)
Lineage: Eukaryota; Metazoa; Chordata; Testudines; Testudinidae
Source: RefSeq, a predicted model, not a curated record
AGGAAAGGGUUACUUUGACUAAGGUCUGUGCACUGCAGUGUGGACACCAGAGCCCUAGGUUUGAGCAUGGGUCAGAAAAUCCUUUACCCAGAGUUAAAAUGCAGUGUAGACGCUCAAGCCCAGGGUUCCCUGACAUAGGUCAGCUGAUGCGAGUCCCACUAACUCUAGGCUUACACUUUUAUGUAGACAUACCCU